RNAcentral lists this ribosomal RNA (411 nucleotides) under uncultured bacterium. RNAcentral's name for it is "bacterial SSU rRNA". It matches the Rfam family "Bacterial small subunit ribosomal RNA", at positions 82 to 518 of the family's 1533-position model. The record is from RNAcentral.
AUAGUAUUGUUUAGUAGCGGACGGGUGAGUAAUCGCAUGAGAACCUGCCCUUCAGAGGGGGACAACAGUUGGAAACGGCUGCUAAUACCCCAUGUGCCGAGAGGUGGAAAGGAGCGAUCCGCUGAAGGAGUGGCUCAUGUCCCUAUCAGCUAGUUGGGUGAGGUAAGGGCUCACCAAGGCGAUGACGGGUAGCCGGCCUGAGAGGGCGACCGGCCACACUGGAACUGAGAUACGGUCCAGACUCCCUACGGGAGGCAGCAGUGGGGAAUAUUGGGCAAUGGGGCGAAAGCCUGACCCAGCGACGCCGCGUGAGGGAAGAAGGCCUUUGGGUCGUAAACCUCUGUUGUAUGGGAAGAAGGAAGUGACGGUACCAUACGAGGAAGUCCCGGCUAACUACGUGCCAGCCGCCGC